UCCUUGAUUACAAAGCACCACCAAUAUAAAACUGUCAAAAGAAAUCGAACAUGAUUGUGGCAACUGUUCAUUUCUGAAUUUAAGGACGGUACCAUUUGGUUAUUUUUACAAGGAAAGGGCUACAAUUUCUAAUGAAAAGGUGGCUACAUUUUAAACACAAAUUUGACCACUCUUUUAACCUCCAAAUCAGCUAUUUCUUUAAGACCAAUUUGGGACCAGGCCAAAGAAGAUAACCCGACCCGGUAACAUUUUAAAUCCCCAAAGACCAAAAUCAGUCCCUAAUUUCCAUUUUUGGCUAAGAAUCCUUUAACUAGUUUCCCUUGUCUCUCUUUUUUCUGUUUCCCAGUACAAAAAGAUUCGGACUUCAAACUCCAAUUCAAUUCAACGAAGUUCCGGAUUCAAAUUCCUCGCACAUAAUCCUAGAAAUUGGGGUUCUAUAUAAAGAACCCCAUCUCUUAACACUUUCUACACCACAAAAACUCUGAGUUUUCCAAUUACACAAAACAAGAAUUUUACCUUCCCUUUGUCCAAGUUCCCUGAGGUUCAGACAUCUUCAGAAGAAAGAUUAUCAUUUAUGAUAUAGAAUCCCAAUAAUGCUGACAUAGACUACACGCAAUUUUUUUUUGAGGCAGUGGAAACCUUAGUAACAAUGCUCCAGGAGUGUCCUAAGUUGAUCCAAUAUGGGGACACUCCUGUAGUAUUGUUAAUUGGGGUUUGACUGACAUUCAAGAGAGGUUUGAACCGGGGAACUUCACGGUUAUCAAAAACAAGACAAAGCCGCACAAAGUUUCAGGAUGAGUCAAUUUUAAAUGAUGAUGACACUGUUUGGGAGAAGGAAGCUGAUGGCUGUCAUUUCAAAAUUGUUUAUUGAUAGGUAAUGAAGAAGAAAGUCAUGCUGACAAAGAUGGCAUGGAGAAAGAUGCAAGGAGGAGGUGAAAACAUACCCUGGGUGAUGAUCCUUUGACACAAGAUGGCAUUGACAUGAAUGAUAGCUUGAACCUUGCAUGUCCAGGGGAUCUAAUGGUGAACAACUACUUUUUAGCAGAGGAUAUGUAUGACAGUGCUCAAGGACUUGGUGACCAAAUGGACAUGCAGUUUACUGAAAUAUAAGUCAAUUUUCUUACACGCCAGUUGAAGUUAACUUUUACCUGCUUUAAGCUUAUUUAUUGAAAAAAGAAAAUUAUAUAUUCACCUAAA
This is a long non-coding RNA of Lycium ferocissimum, 1197 nucleotides long. RefSeq lists it as uncharacterized. The record is from RefSeq and is a predicted model, not a curated record. The transcript has 2 exons. NCBI's taxonomy places the organism in Eukaryota, Viridiplantae, Streptophyta, Magnoliopsida, Solanales, Solanaceae.